GGCCUCAUAGUUAAAUGGACAUAACGGAGCAUUCCUAAUGCUCAAUUCGUGGUUCGAUUCCACGUGGGGCUA
This is a non-coding RNA of Bdellovibrionales bacterium, 72 nucleotides long. The record is from Rfam. NCBI's taxonomy places the organism in Bacteria, Pseudomonadati, Bdellovibrionota, Bdellovibrionia, Bdellovibrionales.